This 2132-nucleotide ribosomal RNA is filed under the name Salmonella enterica subsp. enterica serovar Stanley. RNAcentral describes it as "partial 23S ribosomal RNA". It matches the Rfam family "Bacterial large subunit ribosomal RNA", at positions 689 to 2802 of the family's 2925-position model. Lineage: Bacteria; Pseudomonadati; Pseudomonadota; Gammaproteobacteria; Enterobacterales; Enterobacteriaceae. The record is from RNAcentral.
CGGGCGUUAAGUUGCAGGGUAUAGACCCGAAACCCGGUGAUCUAGCCAUGGGCAGGUUGAAGGUUGGGUAACACUAACUGGAGGACCGAACCGACUAAUGUUGAAAAAUUAGCGGAUGACCUGUGGCUGGGGGUGAAAGGCCAAUCAAACCGGGAGAUAGCUGGUUCUCCCCGAAAGCUAUUUAGGUAGCGCCUCGUGAAUUCAUCUCCGGGGGUAGAGCACUGUUUCGGCUAGGGGGCCAUCCCGGCUUACCAACCCGAUGCAAACUGCGAAUACCGGAGAAUGUUAUCACGGGAGACACACGGCGGGUGCUAACGUCCGUCGUGAAGAGGGAAACAACCCAGACCGCCAGCUAAGGUCCCAAAGUCAUGGUUAAGUGGGAAACGAUGUGGGAAGGCCCAGACAGCCAGGAUGUUGGCUUAGAAGCAGCCAUCAUUUAAAGAAAGCGUAAUAGCUCACUGGUCGAGUCGGCCUGCGCGGAAGAUGUAACGGGGCUAAACCAUGCACCGAAGCUGCGGCAGCGACACUGUGUGUUGUUGGGUAGGGGAGCGUUCUGUAAGCCUGUGAAGGUGUGUCGUGAGGCAUGCUGGAGGUAUCAGAAGUGCGAAUGCUGACAUAAGUAACGAUAAAGCGGGUGAAAAGCCCGCUCGCCGGAAGACCAAGGGUUCCUGUCCAACGUUAAUCGGGGCAGGGUGAGUCGACCCCUAAGGCGAGGCCGAAAGGCGUAGUCGAUGGGAAACGGGUUAAUAUUCCCGUACUUGGUGUUACUGCGAAGGGGGGACGGAGAAGGCUAUGUUGGCCGGGCGACGGUUGUCCCGGUUUAAGCGUGUAGGUGUGUGUUCCAGGUAAAUCCGGUUCACUUUAACACUGAGGCGUGACGACGAGGCACUACGGUGCUGAAGCAACAAAUGCCCUGCUUCCAGGAAAAGCCUCUAAGCAUCAGGUAACAUCAAAUCGUACCCCAAACCGACACAGGUGGUCAGGUAGAGAAUACCAAGGCGCUUGAGAGAACUCGGGUGAAGGAACUAGGCAAAAUGGUGCCGUAACUUCGGGAGAAGGCACGCUGACACGUAGGUGAAGUGAUUUACUCAUGGAGCUGAAGUCAGUCGAAGAUACCAGCUGGCUGCAACUGUUUAUUAAAAACACAGCACUGUGCAAACACGAAAGUGGACGUAUACGGUGUGACGCCUGCCCGGUGCCGGAAGGUUAAUUGAUGGGGUCAGCGCAAGCGAAGCUCCUGAUCGAAGCCCCGGUAAACGGCGGCCGUAACUAUAACGGUCCUAAGGUAGCGAAAUUCCUUGUCGGGUAAGUUCCGACCUGCACGAAUGGCGUAAUGAUGGCCAGGCUGUCUCCACCCGAGACUCAGUGAAAUUGAACUCGCUGUGAAGAUGCAGUGUACCCGCGGCAAGACGGAAAGACCCCGUGAACCUUUACUAUAGCUUGACACUGAACAUUGAGCCUUGAUGUGUAGGAUAGGUGGGAGGCUUUGAAGUGUGGACGCCAGUCUGCAUGGAGCCGACCUUGAAAUACCACCCUUUAAUGUUUGAUGUUCUAACGUGGACCCGUGAUCCGGGUUGCGGACAGUGUCUGGUGGGUAGUUUGACUGGGGCGGUCUCCUCCUAAAGAGUAACGGAGGAGCACGAAGGUUGGCUAAUCCUGGUCGGACAUCAGGAGGUUAGUGCAAUGGCAUAAGCCAGCUUGACUGCGAGCGUGACGGCGCGAGCAGGUGCGAAAGCAGGUCAUAGUGAUCCGGUGGUUCUGAAUGGAAGGGCCAUCGCUCAACGGAUAAAAGGUACUCCGGGGAUAACAGGCUGAUACCGCCCAAGAGUUCAUAUCGACGGCGGUGUUUGGCACCUCGAUGUCGGCUCAUCACAUCCUGGGGCUGAAGUAGGUCCCAAGGGUAUGGCUGUUCGCCAUUUAAAGUGGUACGCGAGCUGGGUUUAGAACGUCGUGAGACAGUUCGGUCCCUAUCUGCCGUGGGCGCUGGAGAACUGAGGGGGGCUGCUCCUAGUACGAGAGGACCGGAGUGGACGCAUCACUGGUGUUCGGGUUGUCAUGCCAAUGGCACUGCCCGGUAGCUAAAUGCGGAAGAGAUAAGUGCUGAAAGCAUCUAAGCACGAAACUUGCCCCGA